UUGUACUUUGAUGGAUGGGUUGUGUAAGGAAAAUAGGCUUGAUGAGGCAGUUUCUUUGUUGGAUGAGAUGCAGAUUGAAGGGUGUUUUCCUAAUUCUGCAACUUUUAAUGUGUUAAUUAAUGGA
Molecule: microRNA precursor, 124 nt
Filed under: Daucus carota subsp. sativus
Lineage: Eukaryota; Viridiplantae; Streptophyta; Magnoliopsida; Apiales; Apiaceae
Description: sRNA DCAR_mi00005
Source: RNAcentral